This is a long non-coding RNA of Temnothorax curvispinosus, 1159 nucleotides long. RefSeq lists it as uncharacterized. Lineage: Eukaryota; Metazoa; Arthropoda; Insecta; Hymenoptera; Formicidae. The transcript is spliced from 2 exons. The record is from RefSeq and is a predicted model, not a curated record.
ACAGCGCAGAAGUCGCGAACGAGGCGAUGCUGGUGGCGUUUGAUAGUGGGGGGGAAGGAAAGAGGCGCGAGUCGGCCGCGGUCGCGCGCGCGUCGGCUGCUCUCUCCUGCCGGCCUGCAACUUCCCGGAUAUCUUUCCGGUAAACUUUCCUCUCCUCGCCGGGGUCGGGAGGAAAGCCCCGACUUUUCCCAUCUCGCUCGCUCCGCCGCCGGGUUUUCACGCGUCCGGACGUAUCGUCUCCCGUCCUGGCCCGAACCGAGAUCCAGGAUUUCCGACCGGCGGGAGAGACGCCGACGACAUCGCGGGCUGCGUCGCGAGACCGGAAGAAUUCGCCGGCGGUCUUUCUCCUUCUCGUCUCCUUCUCUCUUUGAUUUCCUUCCGACGAGACGCCAGGUCCGGCGUGAUAAACGUGAAAAGUGUUCUACGCGCUCGUAGAUAAGACUUGUGCUAAUUGCGUGUUUUUUUUAAUAGUGACAAAGUUCGAGAUAAAUCUCUUGUGCACGAGAUUCACGCGACACUGUAUUGGGCACCAAUGGUAGCAGAGAAACUCGUUUUAUUGUAAAAUUUGUGAAUCUGAUUAGUUGACGAUAUCAUAAUGGCGACAAAUCUGGUCCUGCAAAUAAUGGUGGUGCGAGGAUGACGUAACAUUUUGACGAAAUAGCGACAAGAAAUGAAGACUCCGGAGAAUGAAGAAAUUGGAAGCGAUGCCGGAUUCCUUCGAGUGCAACGUUUGCAAGAAAUUAUUUUUGCAGGAAGUUACGUUUGUAGAAAAUCAUUAGCUGUACGAUUAGCAUGUAACCAGGUAUGCUUGAACAACCUAAAGCCGUCAUUUUAAGCUCUACUAUGGCGAUGCUAAAAAUUAUCAAUAAUGUUAAUAUGUCUAGAUAACGAGGAACAUGCCAAUCGAUGCUCUCAUCAAGAGUCAAAUUGCGUAAUAUACUAGUGGAGUCGUAAAUGUGGUAUUUUUAGAGCAAUAUCCUAACCUUACACUUCUCACAGUAACUGACACGUGUCCCCCAAAACUACACAUCGGUAAUAGCGUAUAGUCUACUGAAACUUUAGAAAAAUCGCGUCUCUCGUCAUCUUUUCGCAUUCGCGAUAACGCUGAAUACAAAAAUACCGCACUUACUCACAUUAAUAAAAUUUAACUUACGUUGUG